RNAcentral lists this ribosomal RNA (254 nucleotides) under uncultured bacterium. Its description in RNAcentral is "partial 16S ribosomal RNA". It matches the Rfam family "Bacterial small subunit ribosomal RNA", at positions 524 to 776 of the family's 1533-position model. The record is from RNAcentral.
UACGUAGGGUGCAAGCGUUAUCCGGAAUUAUUGGGCGUAAAGAGCUCGUAGGCGGUCUGUCGCGUCUGCUGUGAAAUCUGGGGGCUCAACCCCCCAGCCUGCAGUGGGUACGGGCAGACUAGAGUGCGGUAGGGGAGAUUGGAACUCCUGGUGUAGCGGUGGAAUGCGCAGAUAUCAGGAAGAACACCGAUGGCGAAGGCAGAUCUCUGGGCCGUAACUGACGCUGAGGAGCGAAAGCAUGGGGAGCGAACAGG